GCCCCCUCUCCAGAUGAACGCUGGCGGCGUGCCUAAUACAUGCAAGUCGAACGAACUUCCGUUAAUUGAUUAUGACGUACUUGUACUGAUUGAGAUUUUAACACGAAGUGAGUGGCGAACGGGUGAGUAACACGUGGGUAACCUGCCCAGAAGUAGGGGAUAACACCUGGAAACAGAUGCUAAUACCGUAUAACAGAGAAAACCGCAUGGUUUUCUUUUAAAAGAUGGCUCUGCUAUCACUUCUGGAUGGACCCGCGGCGUAUUAGCUAGUUGGUGAGGUAAAGGCUCACCAAGGCAGUGAUACGUAGCCGACCUGAGAGGGUAAUCGGCCACAUUGGGACUGAGACACGGCCCAGACUCCUACGGGAGGCAGCAGUAGGGAAUCUUCCACAAUGGACGCAAGUCUGAUGGAGCAACGCCGCGUGAGUGAAGAAGGGUUUCGGCUCGUAAAGCUCUGUUGUUAAAGAAGAACGUGGGUAAGAGUAACUGUUUACCCAGUGACGGUAUUUAACCAGAAAGCCACGGCUAACUACGUGCCAGCAGCCGCGGUAAUACGUAGGUGGCAAGCGUUAUCCGGAUUUAUUGGGCGUAAAGCGAGCGCAGGCGGUCUUUUAAGUCUAAUGUGAAAGCCUUCGGCUCAACCGAAGAAGUGCAUUGGAAACUGGGAGACUUGAGUGCAGAAGAGGACAGUGGAACUCCAUGUGUAGCGGUGAAAUGCGUAGAUAUAUGGAAGAACACCAGUGGCGAAGGCGGCUGUCUGGUCUGCAACUGACGCUGAGGCUCGAAAGCAUGGGUAGCGAACAGGAUUAGAUACCCUGGUAGUCCAUGCCGUAAACGAUGAUUACUAAGUGUUGGAGGGUUUCCGCCCUUCAGUGCUGCAGCUAACGCAUUAAGUAAUCCGUC
Molecule: ribosomal RNA, 903 nt
Filed under: Lactiplantibacillus plantarum
Lineage: Bacteria; Bacillati; Bacillota; Bacilli; Lactobacillales; Lactobacillaceae
Description: bacterial SSU rRNA
Rfam family: Bacterial small subunit ribosomal RNA
Source: RNAcentral